This 440-nucleotide ribosomal RNA is filed under the name uncultured bacterium. RNAcentral's name for it is "partial 16S ribosomal RNA". It matches the Rfam family "Bacterial small subunit ribosomal RNA", at positions 338 to 795 of the family's 1533-position model. The record is from RNAcentral.
CCUACGGGAGGCAGCAGUAGGGAAUAUUGCUCAAUGGGCGAAACCCUGAAGCAGCAACGCCGCGUGGAGGAUGAAGGUUUUCGGAUUGUAAACCUCUUUUGUUAGAGAAGAAAAUGACGGUAGCUAACGAAUAAGCACCGGCUAACUCCGUGCCAGCAGCCGCGGUAAUACGUAGGGUGCCAGCGUUACACGGAAUUACUGGGCGUAAAGAGGGCGUAGGCGGGAUAGCAAGUCAGAUGGGAAAUCUCAGGGCUUAACCAUGGAACUGCAUUUGAAACUGUUAAUCUGGAGUAUGGGAGAGGUAGGUGGAAUGCUUGGUGUAGGGGUGAAAUGCGUAGAGAUCAAGAGGAAUACCAAUUGCGAAGGCGACCUACUAGAACAUAACUGACGCUGAGGCGCGAAAGCGUGGGGAGCAAACAGGAUUAGAUACCCUAGUAGUC